Long non-coding RNA from Amphiprion ocellaris (clown anemonefish), 1481 nucleotides. RefSeq lists it as uncharacterized. The transcript is spliced from 3 exons. Lineage: Eukaryota; Metazoa; Chordata; Actinopteri; Pomacentridae. The record is from RefSeq and is a predicted model, not a curated record.
UGUGACAGACGUGUCGAGGUGGGAGGAGACGGUGCUGAACCCUGCACUGCAGAUACUGGACAGCCUCAGGAAGGGUGAGGAGCCAGCUAUUGCACCAAUCAGAGUUCAGGGGGCGGAGCUGAGAAACAAACGGAGCUACCACACCUGUGACCUGUGCGAUAAAGUCAUAAUAGGCGACCUGGAGUGGACAGCUCACCUGAAAUCCAAGAAGCAUCACUAUCAUGUGAGGAAAAAGAGGAAGCCUGAUCCAGCGGGUGACCAGUCCCUGAUCACCAGUGCACCUCCUGUGUCUGCAGCAGAGACUCCCUCAGAGGACUGUGGUGCUGCUGUUGCUCCGGGCUGCAGUGAAACCUCUCCGGAUUCUUCCAGAGACACCAGGACAACAAACAAGGAAGUACCUGUGGCAUUUUAAAAGCUGACUCUGGACCUCAUCCAUUUUCAUUCAGGUUUCCACCACUGUAGUGCACUAACAAAUGGACGUUUAAUUACAGUCCUCUCUUUCCUCCCAUGCAGCCGAAUGGAAGUAAUGACUCUGAACUGUGUUCAUUGUGGAUUCGAACAAAAAACGCUUUUGAAAUCCUGCAUAAAAUACUCUGAUCCAUGGAUGUUCAGGGGCACAAGCAAAGGUCCUUGAAGCCGUUCGUUUUUGUCGUGGCGAUGUGAACUCUAAGGAUAAAUUAGAGCUUUAAUGGUCUGUGCAGCCAAAGAAUUAUGCAUUUUAAUGGUUUUUUUUCUAAAUUUCAUUUACAUUUUAAGAGGUUUAUUUUUCUAUUUCUAUAGAUUGUGCCUUAACUUUUAGAACCCAAAGCAGUUUCUAGAUGCUAUUUUUCUCCUGCCGCAUUUCUACUUACUGUGGGCUCAUUUUUCACUGCAAUGUAAAGAAAGCACACAGCUAUAGCUAGAAGUAGACAGAACUCAGAAAUGUCUUUUUUGCAGUAUGACAUAGUUCUAAUACCAUAAAUGGCUAAAAAAGAAAUAAAAAUGAAAGAAUUUCUUUGAUUACUAUAUAUAUUUUACAAAAAUUGAGUAUAAAUGUAUUUUUUUCCAAGGUCCCACAUACAGUAAAAACAUGUUACAUACUAUAGAUAUUUUCCUACCUUCAUUUUAAAUUUGUUUCCAUGCUUGACACCUGUCUGACACAGCCUGCAGUUCAGCCUAAAAUAACUUUUGUCAUGUGACUGUUGGUUGUCGCUAAUGACUUCUUGGUUAAGGAGCACAGAAUUUAUAGUUUUUUAUAAAAUUGAGUGCAAGUGGUUUAUUUUGGAUUAUUUUUCAAUGAAAGCAAUUUUGAUGAAAUAUUAUUUUAAGCUUAGAUUCGGGUUGGUUUUCUGAUGGAGCACAACAUCACAUCAAAAAGCUGUAAAUCAGACGAGUCUUCCUGUUUUUGUAGUUUCUGUCUCUAUUAUUACCAAACCUGCUGGCGGGUUUUGAGGUUCAGAAGUUAAAUAAAAUGUUGAUGAGUCAUAUCGACUGAAAACCUU